Long non-coding RNA from Triticum aestivum (bread wheat), 1267 nucleotides. RefSeq lists it as uncharacterized. The transcript is spliced from 3 exons. Lineage: Eukaryota; Viridiplantae; Streptophyta; Magnoliopsida; Poales; Poaceae. The record is from RefSeq and is a predicted model, not a curated record.
CCCGAUCGAAACCUAGCGCCCCCCUCGUCUCGUUCGACUCGACCCUUCUCCCUCUCUCUGGUGACGGCGGAGCCAAGGAGCUGCUCUCCGGUUGCCCGGCCCGGUCGCCGGCGGCGGCGGCAGAAGCCACCGUGCCGCGCACGCCUCCGCUCGUUUGCCCCUUCUGUUUCCACUUUCUUCUCUUAACAUCCGAGGCAGAGAGAGGGAGAUGCAGCUCCGUGACGGCGGCCUCUGUCUAGAUCGCCGGACCACCGCGCCGCACGUGGUCGCCGACGACGGCGUCGGACGUGCAUGCCGCGCGAGCCCCUUUCCCCUUUCUUUCUUUCCUCUUUCUCCAACCACCACCAGUCACAUGAGCAGAGACGGCGGCCGGACGGUGGUGCCCCCGUGGCCCCCUUGCCAGUGUGCACGUCCACCCUCGUGUGAGCGCGUCGCCGUCAAGUGGCCCCAGCGGCGGCACCAUUUCCUCCCCGAUGAGAUGUCUCUUUGCCCCAUGAGGGGUUGUUCUUCGUCCCGGCACCUCAGCUUGCCGAUGCGCGUCGGGGUCGAGAGGAACGACGCGGCCAUUGCGGCAGCGCAACUUUUCCGGUGAAGGUUAUGUUCUUUCCCCUGUUCUAGGUUUCCAGGGGAGGGGAAAUUUUCUCUGUCUUUUAUUUCAACCAAAAAAUCCUAGACACAACCUGGGACUGAUACCAUUGAUAGAAUCACGGGAUCAUGCAGGCUAGGAUUCCGGCAACAAUUGUGAUAGGCAUUACCUUUCUUGGCGUGAGGAGCUCCCGCCGUUGGCCAUGAUGGAUGGCUACAGUGGUGAUGACAGAGAGUGGUUGGUGGCGCUGUGGAGCUUCCCAUCGCUCUCCGGCUUUCCACGAUCGGUCUGGUUAUGGAUGUGGGUGGCUGUUCUGUUUUUGGCGUGCGUGCCCUAGUGGCCCCCACCUCUCUCUUAUAGCCGGCGCGACAGGGGCCCACAACCCAGUUGGGUUGGGCUCCCCCGAUCAGGGAGCGAGUCAACGAGGAUGUACCAAACUUGUUGUCUUCGCUGGAGCACCCGGAGCAUCGAGCUUCACCGCUUCGUUCCAUCGCCGUUUGUCGUCACCGACCCUCUUCGAAUUCACCACAGGACGAGCCACUCUCCGCUACAUCCUCCCAACACCUCCGCCGCCGCCCACGAUCGCCGGAGCCGCUGCCGCCACCACGCCCGAGCGCCACCAAUAUUUCCAAUGGAUUCUACCAAGUCAUUAUUCUGAGAGCGUUAUUAUCUUCAUCAAGU